UGUCAGUUAAAAUCUCUAAGUGUUCUUGUUGCGAAGAAGAAGAAGAAGAAUGUGCAACCUGUGAUUUGGAGUCUUGCGAGUACGCAAUUUGCAAGACAUGCUUGGAACAACAAAAAAAUUACGGGGCAUUAGAAUCUCACUUAUCCGGGCCACAGCACAAGGAAGCUUAUUCGAUAUGGUUGGAGACACUAGCACAUAUCUCUACAUGUAUGCCCCCAGCUAAUCAGCCUUGCACCAUUCGUUCGUGCAUGCGUGGUAGAGAGCUCAUAACACAUCUCAAGGAUUGCCCAAAGAAACUUUCAGGUAAGUGUAUGAGGUGUGAAAUUAUUUGGGUGGGAGUGUGUGCCCAUGCAAGCCAUUGCACUAAUCGCAACUGCCUUAUUCCACAGUGCAGGCAUGUCGCAGAGUACAAGAGGUCAAAAGGGUGAUGGAGAACUGAGAGCAGUCUUUGCGAUUAGCGUUGGACUAAAACGA
Raphanus sativus (radish) is the source of this 474-nucleotide long non-coding RNA. RefSeq lists it as uncharacterized. NCBI's taxonomy places the organism in Eukaryota, Viridiplantae, Streptophyta, Magnoliopsida, Brassicales, Brassicaceae. The transcript has 3 exons. The record is from RefSeq and is a predicted model, not a curated record.